Molecule: ribosomal RNA, 120 nt
Organism: Ceratocystis platani
Lineage: Eukaryota; Fungi; Ascomycota; Sordariomycetes; Microascales; Ceratocystidaceae
Source: Rfam
ACAUACGACCAUAGCUAAUGGAGAAUACGGGGUCCCGUCUGCUCCCCCCGAGUCAAGCCAUUAAGCGCCGGAUCAGUAGUACGGUGGGUGACCACGUGCGAAUACCUGGUGUUGUAUGUA